This 1714-nucleotide long non-coding RNA is filed under the name Oryza brachyantha (malo sina). RNAcentral's name for it is "long non-coding RNA (OBRA_LNC001389)". The record is from RNAcentral. Lineage: Eukaryota; Viridiplantae; Streptophyta; Magnoliopsida; Poales; Poaceae.
AAGCAACAAAUUCAUGUACUUCCACAAUAUUAGUAAAAUAAGUACAAAAUCUGCUGGAUAGUACACAAAAGAACUAAGCAAACCAGAGUAGGAGGGGUAGAUGGUUGUGACAUCAAAAACCAAAAACUUUUAGUGGAAUUAAAAGUUACUCUCGAAGUAAAUGGAGAUCGGUCUAACCGGACCGUCCAGAUAACUGUGGUUUGACCGUCGAUCGGUCUGACCACUUCCCUGCAUUGGUGCUGCCUGUCACCGCCGUUGGUCCAAUCCAACCGGUGCCUUGCUGUUGAUCUGACCGCUUAUAACAAUGUCACUGAUCUUGAAACUGAAGAAGGCCGUUCUCAUGUUGAUCCUGAGAGUUUUAUUUGCACUGGAAACCAUCACAAUUUAGUUCUUUGAUAUACUCAUCUUAAUGCUCUCCUUAAUUUACUCUUCCUUAAUUUACUCUUCGUUCUCUCUCUCAGAGAUGCACAGAUGUACGUACAGCCAGUGUCCUUUAAAAAAUAUAAUAGUAAUAAAAAAUGGAAAUGUUCAGACGUACAGCACCUGGAUUUUAUGAUCUUUGAGCAAACGAAUCGGCUUGGCUUCUUGUACAUUGGUUAUCCCCGCAUUCACUGUCAAUUGCAAACCAGGGAACAUAACUUUUUACAACAAAGAAAGAGAGAGAGAGAGAGAGUACUUAGCACAUGAUCCAUUUUUGGUAAGGCAAAUGUUCAUUGGUUAAAUUACUAACUGGACAAAAUAAAUCGACCUCAGAAAUUAUCCCCGCACCCACUUUCAAUGACAAACAAAAGAGAUAGUAAUUAGCACAAAAUGUUUUUUCGAUAAGGCAAAUAUUUAUUGGAUAAAUUACUAACUGGACAGAAUAAAUUGACAUCAGUUGUGCUCAGAUGUAUACAAAUUUAUGAAUUAAACCAUAUCGUAGUUAUAUGUCAAGGAACAAAUUUAUAUUACAUGGCCCAGAUACACAUUUAAAAUCUUAUUGUCACCCUUUUGCAGAUUCUGCAGCCUAGUGUGAAAAAUAGCAAACUUUCUGGGUUUGCCAUAUGAUAUUAUUUAGUAAAACAAUCUCACCUCGGAGAACGGGGCUUAUAUAUUUUUAGGCAAACAUUGACAAAAAAGAAUAAGAUCAUUUUUUUCUGUGGUGAGACAUAUAAGUAUUCAUGAAAAUCAUCAAGCAACGCAAUAAAUCUGCAUGACUCAGUCGUAGGCUGAAGCAAAAUCAGUAAGUAGAGCAAUAGAUAGCCUUCUAUUAUGCAAAAUUAGCCUGAUUGAUUCUGGACAAGUCUUAGGCUGAAGCAAAAUUCACCCUGAAGUAAUCCAUUGACCAGACAUCACAAAAACUGUUAUUAUCCCACAUGAACUACAUGGACCAGAUAGAGGGAGAGAGGUGAGAUGGUCGAUGAACAAAACCUGCAGGUGGAGCAGCAGCCUUCAGGUGGUGGGAGAAAUAUCCUGCCAGUGAAGUGGGUCAACCCAGAUCUGUGGCCAGCUGAAGCGGUGCAUGGCGAAGGUGGCUGCUGCUGCGGUGAUAGCGAGCCAUCUCGGCGGCGGUGCGGAGAAGUCAACUACAAACCUGGAUGCUGGAGAGGUGGGUGCCAAAGCAUUUUGCGCAUUUGACAAACAUCACAUUUCUGUGGUUCCUAGUCUAAUCUUUUAAAAACCUUUUAAAUCAUCUGCACAGAAAAUGAAUUUUCACACUGGGUUGCUGAAACGA